Molecule: non-coding RNA, 324 nt
Organism: Pelobates cultripes (western spadefoot toad)
Lineage: Eukaryota; Metazoa; Chordata; Amphibia; Anura; Pelobatidae
Source: the annotation of a GenBank genome assembly
GUUUUAGAACUCAAUUCGGCACUUUGUUCGGAUCGCAAUUUCAUUCGAAUGAAUGAAACUCCGAUCCUAUUUGUGCUGUGGCUGCAUCUUGCAGCCGCUUAGUAGAUAACUCCCUAAUUCCCACGGUAUUAGGGAGCUAUCUACCAAAAGGCUGAAAGACCUAAAUUGGUCUUUCAGCCACGUUUACUAAUACUAAGUAAAGAUUACUUAGUAUUAGUAAAUGCUGCCCCUACUCGCUAUACCGCGAGUAGGGGCAUGUCUAGUAAACAGUGAGCAGCCUGUGGCUGCUCACUGUAAAAAAUAAAUAAAAACCUAUUGGCCCCC